This 433-nucleotide ribosomal RNA is filed under the name uncultured bacterium. RNAcentral describes it as "partial 16S ribosomal RNA". It matches the Rfam family "Bacterial small subunit ribosomal RNA", at positions 29 to 507 of the family's 1533-position model. The record is from RNAcentral.
AGCGAACGCUGGCGGCAGGCUUAACACAUGCAAGUCGAGCGGGCCCUUCGGGGUCAGCGGCCGACGGGUGAGUAACACGUGGGAACGUACCCUUUGGUUCGGAAUAACGCUGGGAAACUAGCGCUAAUACCGGAUACGCCCUUUUGGGGAAAGGCUUGCUGCCGAAGGAUCGGCCCGCGUCUGAUUAGCUAGUUGGUGGGGUAAUGGCCUACCAAGGCGACGAUCAGUAGCUGGUCUGAGAGGAUGAUCAGCCACACUGGGACUGAGACACGGCCCAGACUCCUACGGGAGGCAGCAGUGGGGAAUAUUGGACAAUGGGCGCAAGCCUGAUCCAGCCAUGCCGCGUGAGUGAUGAAGGCCUUAGGGUUGUAAAGCUCUUUUGUCCGGGACGAUAAUGACGGUACCGGAAGAAUAAGCCCCGGCUAACUUCGCG